UACGAAGGGGGCUAGCGUUGCUCGGAAUCACUGGGCGUAAAGGGUGCGUAGGCGGGUUUUUAAGUCAGGGGUGAAAUCCUGGAGCUCAACUCCAGAACUGCCUUUGAUACUGAGAGGCUUGAGUCCGGGAGAGGUGAGUGGAACUGCGAGUGUAGAGGUGAAAUUCGUAGAUAUUCGCAAGAACACCAGUGGCGAAGGCGGCUCACUGGCCCGGUACUGACGCUGAGGUGCGAAAGCGUGGGGAGCAAACAGG
RNAcentral lists this ribosomal RNA (253 nucleotides) under uncultured bacterium. Its description in RNAcentral is "partial 16S ribosomal RNA". It matches the Rfam family "Bacterial small subunit ribosomal RNA", at positions 524 to 776 of the family's 1533-position model. The record is from RNAcentral.